AGGAAGAGGGACAAAAAAAUACCAAAGGGUAUAUAUGGGGCAAGGCUGGAAUGAAGCUGGUUUGUGCUGUACUCUCUCUUCCAGUUCCUUCAAAAUCAUCUAAUACUUGUGGAGAGCAAGUUAAUAGUGUGCUUAGUCAAGUGGUACCUGAUUAUCUAGAACAGAGGGCACUUAACAAGCUACUUUUGAUUGGAUAUAGUGGAUCUGGUACUAGCACCAUAUAUAAGCAGGCAAAAAUUCUU
This 242-nucleotide unclassified non-coding RNA is filed under the name Hevea brasiliensis (rubber tree). Lineage: Eukaryota; Viridiplantae; Streptophyta; Magnoliopsida; Malpighiales; Euphorbiaceae. The record is from RNAcentral.